This is a non-coding RNA of Canis lupus familiaris (dog), 73 nucleotides long. Lineage: Eukaryota; Metazoa; Chordata; Mammalia; Carnivora; Canidae. The record is from Rfam.
ACCUGGCUGGCUCAGUUGGUAGAGCAUGUGACUUUUAAUCUCAGGGUUGUGAGUUCAAGCCCUAUGUUUGGCA